GAAACCCCGUCCUCAGUUCGGAUUGGAGUCUGCAACUCGACUCCAUGAAGCUGGAUUCGCUAGUAAUCGCGCAUCAGCCAUGGCGCGGUGAAUACGUUCCCGGGCCUUGUACACACCGCCCGUCAAGCCAUGGGAGCCGGGAGUGCCUGAAGUCCGUGACCGCGAGGAGCGGCCUAGGGUAAGACCGGUGACUGGGGCUAAGUCGUAACAAGGUAGC
RNAcentral lists this ribosomal RNA (217 nucleotides) under uncultured bacterium. RNAcentral's name for it is "partial 16S ribosomal RNA". It matches the Rfam family "Bacterial small subunit ribosomal RNA", at positions 1276 to 1500 of the family's 1533-position model. The record is from RNAcentral.